AGCGUUGUCCGGAAUUAUUGGGCGUAAAGAGCGUGUAGGCGGUUCGGUACGUCUGCCGUGAAAACCUGGGGCUCAACCCCGGGCGUGCGGUGGAUACUGCCGGGCUAGAGGGUGGUAGAGGCGAGUGGAAUUCCCGGUGUAGCGGUGAAAUGCGCAGAUAUCGGGAGGAACACCAGUAGCGAAGGCGGCUCGCUGGGCCAUUCCUGACGCUGAGACGCGAAAGCUAGGGGAGCGAACAGG
Molecule: ribosomal RNA, 240 nt
Filed under: uncultured bacterium
Lineage: Bacteria
Description: partial 16S ribosomal RNA
Rfam family: Bacterial small subunit ribosomal RNA
Source: RNAcentral